UACGUAGGGGGCAAGCGUUGUCCGGAUUUAUUGGGCGUAAAGAGCGUGUAGGCGGCCAGGUAGGUCUGCUGUGAAAACUCGAGGCUUAACCUCGAGCUGUCAGCGGAAACCAUCUGGCUAGAGUCCGGAAGAGGAGAAUGGAAUUCCCGGUGUAGCGGUGAAAUGCGCAGAUAUCGGGAAGAACACCCGUGGCGAAGGCGGUUCUCUGGGACGGUACUGACGCUGAGACGCGAAAGCGUGGGGAGCGAACAGG
RNAcentral lists this ribosomal RNA (253 nucleotides) under uncultured bacterium. RNAcentral's name for it is "partial 16S ribosomal RNA". It matches the Rfam family "Bacterial small subunit ribosomal RNA", at positions 524 to 776 of the family's 1533-position model. The record is from RNAcentral.